This 237-nucleotide unclassified non-coding RNA is filed under the name Glomeraceae sp. RNAcentral describes it as "partial contains 5.8S ribosomal RNA and internal transcribed spacer 2". The stretch from base 1 to 71 matches the Rfam family "5.8S ribosomal RNA", at positions 84 to 154 of the family's 154-position model. The record is from RNAcentral. Lineage: Eukaryota; Fungi; Glomeromycota; Glomeromycetes; Glomerales; Glomeraceae.
GUGAAUCAUCAAAUUUUUGAACGCAAAUUGCGCUUCCUAGCAUCCCGGGAAGUAUGCCUGUUUGAGGUUCAGUAUUAACAAAAAAAUCGGUUUGGUUGCAAAUUGUGACGUUUCCGGAGUUUGGGCUAUCUUAACUUUUUUGGUUAAGUGGCUUAAAAUUGACCUUUUUUGCGCAUUUUUAGACGUACAUAAUUUUUUUUUUUUUUUGUUAAUCUUUAUAGCAAAAACUUAUUGUGU